This 286-nucleotide small nuclear RNA is filed under the name Nannospalax galili (Upper Galilee mountains blind mole rat). Its description in RNAcentral is "7SK RNA (ENSNGAG00000004636.1)". It matches the Rfam family "7SK RNA". From Rfam's summary of the family: 7SK was discovered as an abundant small nuclear RNA in the mid-70s but a possible function has only recently been suggested. The record is from Rfam by way of RNAcentral. Lineage: Eukaryota; Metazoa; Chordata; Mammalia; Rodentia; Spalacidae.
GGAUGUGAGAGUGAUCUGGCUAUUACCCCUUUGAUUACCAGGCUGAUUCUAUUGAUCUGGGUGGAUAAGCAGGUAUCUGCUUCCUCCCUCACUGCUCCACAUGAGUCCCUCCUGAAGCUGUGUGCUUAAGUAAAGAGGAUGACCUUCUCUGAUAGAGGAGGGCCAGUCUUUGCUCAAGUAUAUGAGUAGCCUGCACUUUCCUACUGCAACCUCUAAGAUUUUAAGAGCAAGCUUGGGGAUAGAGACCAUCUGUUUGAACUCUUCUAAGAAGAGAGGGCUAUGUCUU